GAUGAACGCUGGCGGCGUGCCUAACACAUGCAAGUCGAACGGACUCAUAUUGAAACCUAGUGAUUUAUGAGUUAGUGGCGGACGGGUGAGUAACGCGUGGAAAACCUGCCGUAUACCGGGGGAUAACACUUAGAAAUAGGUGCUAAUACCGCAUAAGCGCACAGCUUCGCAUGAAGCAGUGUGAAAAACUCCGGUGGUAUACGAUGGUUCCGCGUCUGAUUAGCUAGUUGGCGGGGUAACGGCCCACCAAGGCAGCGAUCAGUAGCCGGCCUGAGAGGGUGAACGGCCACAUUGGGACUGAGACACGGUCCAA
Molecule: ribosomal RNA, 313 nt
Filed under: uncultured bacterium
Lineage: Bacteria
Description: bacterial SSU rRNA
Rfam family: Bacterial small subunit ribosomal RNA
Source: RNAcentral